GGGCGGAUAGUUCAGGUGGCGAGAACGCCGGUCUCACAUACCGGAGGUCGGAGGUUCAAGUCCUCCUCCGCCCA
This 74-nucleotide transfer RNA is filed under the name marine sediment metagenome. It matches the Rfam family "tRNA". From Rfam's summary of the family: Transfer RNA (tRNA) molecules are approximately 80 nucleotides in length. Their secondary structure includes four short double-helical elements and three loops (D, anti-codon, and T loops). The record is from RNAcentral.